AAAUUCGCCUUCAUGAAGCCGGAAUUGCUAGUAAUGGCAGGUCAGCAUACUGCCGUGAAUACGUUCCCGGGCCUUGUACACACCGCCCGUCACACCAUGAGAGUUGGGAAUACCCGAAGCCUGUGAGCUAACUUAUAGAGGCAGCAGUCGAAGGUAGAAUCAAUGAUUGGGGUGAAGUCGUAACAAGGUAGC
Molecule: ribosomal RNA, 192 nt
Filed under: uncultured bacterium
Lineage: Bacteria
Description: partial 16S ribosomal RNA
Rfam family: Bacterial small subunit ribosomal RNA
Source: RNAcentral